RNAcentral lists this long non-coding RNA (731 nucleotides) under Homo sapiens (human). RNAcentral's name for it is "HSALNT0082299". Lineage: Eukaryota; Metazoa; Chordata; Mammalia; Primates; Hominidae. The record is from RNAcentral.
CAUGCGCGGCGCAGGGAGCAUGCGCAGGGCCGGCUGCAGCCAUUCUGCCAUCCGGCGCUUGUGCAGGUGCCUUCCGCGGAGUCAGUCUAGGAAACGUUUCCAGGCGCCUAGUCUUUGCAAUCAAAAGAAUCAGAAAUGUUGCUGAGGCCCUAAGAGGCAGUUCUGCACAGCUGCUCAAAACAGAAUCGGAGGAUGGAUGAUGGGGGAUAGUGUGUGCGGCUCUUUGCUGGCUAGGUCUCCUACCAGACUUUUAAAAAGUAGCACGUGAAGGUGUAUGGAGGUCAGCACACAGCGCUGCUUAGGACUCUUUCUUCACAGGAAGUGGGAGCAUGCCUGCCUCAACCUCAGCCCUCAGCCAAUGCCUUCUGACUCCGAGCCGAGAGCCCUUCCUGACCUCGUGGCUGAGCGUCUCUGGCCUUCUCUGCAGCUCCUCAACGGUGUGGCAGCGCAGCGCAGGCCCUCCUGGCUGACCUUCAGAAAUCUGUUGAAAUCUUAAAAUAAGAAAACAGGGAAGCUUGCUGCAUCGAUUGACUCUUCCUUUCACGAAAGAUUUCUCUGUAGCGUGCAAUGCUAUGCACUGGAAAAAGAAAGAAAGAAAGAAAUCUGUUGAAAUCACUCGUUCGUUGCUGUUGACCCUCUCCACACCGUUGUCUUUGAGAACCUGGAUUGUACUUAUAGGCUUUAUUUCAUGGAGGCUUAUGGCAAACAGGUGGCAAGGGCAUAUGUCUACU